Molecule: unclassified non-coding RNA, 213 nt
Filed under: plant metagenome
Description: partial contains small subunit ribosomal RNA, internal transcribed spacer 1, and 5.8S ribosomal RNA
Source: RNAcentral
UUUCCGUAGGUGAACCUGCGGAAGGAUCAUUCAUAAUAAGUGUUUUAUGGCACUUUUUUAAAUCCAUAUCCACCUUGUGUGCAAUGUCAGGGUUGAUUUUUCUCUCGAGAGGAUCAACCCCAAACAUCAACUAUAUCUCAACUCUUUGUCUGAAAAAUAUUAUGAAUAAAACAAUUCAAAAUGCAACUUUCAACAACGGAUCUCUUGGCUCUC